RNAcentral lists this ribosomal RNA (761 nucleotides) under Rotylenchus brevicaudatus. RNAcentral's name for it is "partial large subunit ribosomal RNA". It matches the Rfam family "Eukaryotic large subunit ribosomal RNA", at positions 374 to 975 of the family's 3401-position model. Lineage: Eukaryota; Metazoa; Nematoda; Chromadorea; Rhabditida; Hoplolaimidae. The record is from RNAcentral.
AUUGGCAGAGAGAGUUAAGAGGACGUGAACCGGUGAGGUGGAAACGGACAGAGUUGGCGUAUCUGGCCUGUAUUCAGCUGCGGACUCGUUGGCGUCAGGUUGUCGCUCUCCAAACUGGGACGGCUGCCUGUUUGGUGGUGGGUUUGGGGGGGAUUUUGCGGGGGAAGGGCCUUAAGGGCUUGGGGGAACGGCAUUAACUCCGUCUUUAAGGCCACCCCCCCCGGGGUCUGGUACCCCGGCCCCGGGGAAUGGUGGUUGGGGUGGGGGGAAAAAUACCGGAAUGGUCUCGGGGUUCCGGGGGUGCCAACUGGCACUUGGCGGCCGGCCCAUGGGACCCCGGGCCGUGGGCCCCUCCGCCCCGCUGAAGGCUCACAUUUUCCGGGCCUCCGGGGAAAAUCCGAUCAUCCUGUCCACCCCGCUUGAAACACGGACCAAGGGAGUUAACGUGGGCUCGAGUCAUUGGGGGUUGAAACCCCAAAGGGCAAUGAAAAUGAAGGGCUUCCUUGCGGAGCUUGAGGGUGAUCCCGGGCACCUGCGGGGAUCCAGGUGCAACCUUAUUCCCCCCUGACCGCUUGGCGGGGAGCGGACACACAACCGAACCCCUGAAACCCGAAAGAUUGUAAACUAUUCCUGAAAGGAUGAAGACAAUGGAAACUCUGGUGGAAACCCAAUCGAUUCUGAACGCAAAUCCAUCCUCUGACUUGGGUAUAUAGGGCUAAAACACUAAUUCAACCAUCUAGUAACUUGUUCCCUUUCCCAAA